Molecule: ribosomal RNA, 501 nt
Filed under: uncultured Glomeromycotina
Lineage: Eukaryota; Fungi; Glomeromycota
Description: partial small subunit ribosomal RNA
Rfam family: Eukaryotic small subunit ribosomal RNA
Source: RNAcentral
CCAAUAGCGUAUAUUAAAGUUGUUGCAGUUAAAAAGCUCGUAGUUGAAUUUCGGGAUCAAUAUUUCGGUCAUGCCGUUGGUAUGCGCUGUUAUCAUUGAUUUCUCACCUUCUAAAGAACCGUAAUGCCAUUAAUUUGGUGUUACGGGGAAUUAGGACUGUUACCUUGAAAAAAUUAGAGUGUUUAAAGCAGGCUCACGCUUGAAUACAUUAGCAUGGAAUAAUGAAAUAGGACAUCCGAUUCUAUUUUGUUGGUUUCUAGGAUCGAUGUAAUGAUUAAUAGGGAUAGUUGGGGGCAUUAGUAUUCAAUUGUCAGAGGUGAAAUUCUUGGAUUUAUUGAAGACUAACUACUGCGAAAGCAUUUGCCAAGGAUGUUUUCAUUAAUCAAGAACGAAAGUUAGGGGAUCGAAGACGAUCAGAUACCGUCGUAGUCUUAACCAUAAACUAUGCCGACUAGGGAUCGGAUGAUGUUAAUUUUUUAAUGACUCAUUCGGCGCCUUACG